GUUUCUAUGGUGUAUAAUGCACAUUAGAUUUUCAUUCUAGAAGGAUAAGGUAACUUAUUAGAAAUG
Molecule: transfer RNA, 66 nt
Filed under: Anentome sp. YY-2021
Lineage: Eukaryota; Metazoa; Mollusca; Gastropoda; Neogastropoda; Nassariidae
Description: tRNA-Glu
Source: RNAcentral